RNAcentral lists this ribosomal RNA (223 nucleotides) under uncultured bacterium. RNAcentral describes it as "partial 16S ribosomal RNA". It matches the Rfam family "Bacterial small subunit ribosomal RNA", at positions 943 to 1167 of the family's 1533-position model. The record is from RNAcentral.
GGUUUAAUUCGAAGCAACGCGAAGAACCUUACCAAGUCUUGACAUCCCGAUGACAAGCUAUGUAAUGUAGCCUCUCUUCGGAGCAUCGGUGACAGGUGGUGCAUGGUUGUCGUCAGCUCGUGUCGUGAGAUGUUGGGUUAAGUCCCGCAACGAGCGCAACCCCUGUUCUUAGUAGCCAGCGGUUCGGCCGGCACUCUAGGGAGACUGCCAGGGAUAACCUGGA